Molecule: long non-coding RNA, 1493 nt
Organism: Gallus gallus (chicken)
Lineage: Eukaryota; Metazoa; Chordata; Aves; Galliformes; Phasianidae
Exons: 5
Source: RefSeq, a predicted model, not a curated record
ACCAUUGGUGAAGGGCGAAUGGUUGGACUGGAUGAUCCUGUGGGUCUUUUCCAACCUUAGCAAUUCUAUGAUUCUAUGAAAUGGCGAGGAAGUGUGGGUGACAGGACAAAUGGCCACAAUUUUGAAAUGAACCUCAGGGAGAGGACAUAAAGGCAGUGCAAAGGUAACCAUAACCAUGUCCCUUUAAUGCCUUGGGCGCUGCAGGUUUUUCCCUCAUGGCCUUCCAGGAGCUCCCAUGCCCUUGCAUGCUCACAAUAAUCCCACACAAAGGGCAGUCAUUGAGGCGCUGUGAGCAUGGAGGGCUCUGCCUCCUCCAGCCAGGCUGAAGGGAAGGGAGUAGGGAAGGAUCACGUGCUGAUACAGGGGAAGCGAAGAAAAACAGAGGGAAAGAGAUGUGAAACCUGAUCCAUCUAAUAACAUCAAGACUGAUAGUGAUUUUCCACUCUAUCUAGCAGGUUUAGAGGUCAGAGUUUCCCUCCACAGCAUUCUUCUCUUGACAAAUGAUCGUUGCAGCAACUAGACAGGUCUGAGAUAAACCAGCAAACAUACUAAUGAAGACAAGAACUGUCCUGAGGAAAUACCUCCUAUUAGUUAAUAAGCAGACACAGUGGUCUGGAUUAGGAAGGAACAUGACAACAUUGUUGAAAAUGAAGAUGUGUAUCCUCAGUGAAGCCAAUGAGUCCACAGAAGCCAGGACUGUGUAACCUGCUGCUGCACAUCAGGAUUCCAGAAGAGGAAAUGAACACUACGAAUAGUGAGAGCAAUAAUACACAAGGGGCCUACUUUACUGCUAUUGUUUCUUCUUCUGUAAUACCCCUGGUGAGUUUUCAGAGAUGGCAGGGAGCAAGUGCAACCAUAGUGCAAGUGAAAUUACCAUCCUUACUAUUGACCAAUGAUAGGAGAAAACCUCACAUCAAGAAUGUGCUCAAGUCAUCCAAGAUCAAAUGAAGACUAUCAGAUGAAUAGUUAUUACACUCCUCCCAGGAGCAAAUGAGAGAUGGGAACCCUCAGGAUGGGCAGAGCCAUCCAUGCUGAACACUUGCUGUCUCCAGCCUUGCACAAAAUUAAUGUUACAGACGGAUACCUAUGUUUCUAAAGCCUCGAUGCUGCUAUACUUUAAUAUCUUGAACUAAAUUAAUGGGUGAGACAGCAAAAACAGCCCAACAUCCUUCUUUCCCUUUCUUCUUCCUCUCAAAAAAACACUUAUUUUGGAGUGAAAUAAGAUUAAAACUUGUGUUUCAGUGGAGCUUACCUGAAGCAAGAACAUAUUAGAACUUCUCCAGAAUAAUAUUUCCAUCUUAAGACAUCUAAAAUUGUUAAUUAUUGGACAUUAAUAGCCGGAAAUAUUGCAACAUAAAAUUGUUAAAAGUCAAAGUUAUGUCAACAAUAAUUACUUUGCUGUCCAGGUAUUAUUCAAGCUUACCAGAAACCUCAAUAAACAAAUAAAAACCACAGAUCUUGAUGACUUUUUGUCUUUUCUCCCAACAUCUUCC